RNAcentral lists this ribosomal RNA (369 nucleotides) under uncultured phototrophic eukaryote. RNAcentral's name for it is "SSU rRNA". It matches the Rfam family "Bacterial small subunit ribosomal RNA", at positions 524 to 896 of the family's 1533-position model. The record is from RNAcentral.
UACGGGGGAUGCAAGCGUUAUCCGGAAUCAUUGGGCGUAAAGCGCCUGUAGGUUGUUUAAUAAGUCUGUUGUUAAAGACCAGGGCUCAACCCUGGGAAAGCAAUGGAAACUACUAGACUAGAGUAUGGCAGGGGUAGAGGGAAUUUCUAGUGUAGCGGUGAAAUGCGUAGAUAUUAGAAAGAACACCGGUGGCGAAAGCGCUCUACUGGACCAUUACUGACACUCAGAGGCGAAAGCUAGGGUAGCAAAAGGGAUUAGAUACCCCUGUAGUCCUAGCCGUAAACGAUGGAUACUAGAUGUUGUGCGUAAAGUACAGUAUCCUAGCUAACGCGUUAAGUAUCCCGCCUGGGGAGUACGCUCGCAAGGGUG